UCUCUGGUAGUAUAUCGGAUAGUACACCCGCCUGUCAUCAUAGGAUGGACGCGGGAGAGCGGGGUUCGACUCCCCGCCAGAGAG
Molecule: transfer RNA, 84 nt
Filed under: Suillus subaureus
Lineage: Eukaryota; Fungi; Basidiomycota; Agaricomycetes; Boletales; Suillaceae
Description: tRNA-Asp
Source: RNAcentral